Molecule: long non-coding RNA, 311 nt
Filed under: Brassica rapa (field mustard)
Lineage: Eukaryota; Viridiplantae; Streptophyta; Magnoliopsida; Brassicales; Brassicaceae
Description: long non-coding RNA (BRAP_LNC004489)
Source: RNAcentral
GGAGGCAAAGGAGAGGGAGGAUGUCAAAUAGUAGGGGUGGGUGUUCGGGUAUCCGUUCGGGUUCGGAUUGGGUAUUUUGGAUUUUCGGGUAUUUCGGUAUAGAGGUGUAGAACCCGUUCGGGUAUUUCUGUACUUCGGGCCGGGUUCGGGUAUUUUUAAUUCGGAUUCGGUUAUUUCGGAUCGGGUUCGGAUAUUUAGAUUUUGAAAAAAAAAAAAAAAUUUAUUUCUCAAAUUUCUUGUAUUUAAAAAUAUAAAUUUCACUUAACUUAUUUUUUUAUUUUUAAUAGAUUGAAUGGUUAAUAGAUUUGGAC